ACGGGGGGUACAAGCGUUGUUCGGAAUUACUGGGCGUAAAGAGCGCGUAGGCGGCUUGUCAAGUCGGAUGUGAAAGCUCUGGGCUUAACCCAGGAAGUGCAUUUGAAACUGGCAGGCUUGAGUAGGGGAGAGGGAAGUGGAAUUCCGGGUGUAGAGGUGAAAUGCGUAGAUAUCAGGAGGAACACCGGUGGCGAAGGCGGCUUCCUGGCCCAAUACUGACGCUGAUGUGCGAGAGCUUGGGGAGCAAACAG
This 251-nucleotide ribosomal RNA is filed under the name uncultured prokaryote. RNAcentral describes it as "partial 16S rRNA". It matches the Rfam family "Bacterial small subunit ribosomal RNA", at positions 525 to 775 of the family's 1533-position model. The record is from RNAcentral.